UCUUAAUGGUAGUCUCACUGUCUGUGG
This 27-nucleotide non-coding RNA is filed under the name Homo sapiens (human). Lineage: Eukaryota; Metazoa; Chordata; Mammalia; Primates; Hominidae. The record is from RNAcentral.